Meriones unguiculatus (Mongolian gerbil) is the source of this 1258-nucleotide long non-coding RNA. RefSeq lists it as uncharacterized. The record is from RefSeq and is a predicted model, not a curated record. NCBI's taxonomy places the organism in Eukaryota, Metazoa, Chordata, Mammalia, Rodentia, Muridae. The transcript is spliced from 4 exons.
CAGCACAGGGGCAAACGGAGCAAGGCGAGGGGUGGCCGCAGGUCAGAGGUGCGGCUGAGCAGGGCACGCAGUAGCCGGGAGUGCCCGGCUCUCUACGGGAAACCAGCAACUGGCUUGGACAGCUACUGUUGCUGGAUCAGGCGCUGGCUCCUAGAGCCCAGCUUCCUCGCUCUAGGAAGGAGUAGGCGGCGUGGGGACAGAAACCCGGCAGGUCGGUAAGUCAGGAUUCCAGAGCAUGGUGGCUGUGGUCAUCACCAGAGUCACCAGAUAAAAGGGGUUCCGAGAGGGAAUCUAGACAGCACCCAACACGGAGGAUACGCCUUAAGGAUUCUGGGCAAGUUUUCAAGCCUGGCAGAAGAGGGGGAGCUGUUUGAGGCUGCACGGACCCAAAUAACCAGCUGCAGCCUCAGAGCUUCAAGCCUCAGGUCAAGGCGCUGAGUUCCUCUCAAGAAGGUGAAGGAAGGCUGAAAGCCUGCAGAGGCAGGGGACAGAGGCGGACAGGGUGGUGCCUGGGUCUGUCCAGUGCCUGGGCCGGAAGGGAACGGUGCCCAAGCCUGGUUCACAAGGACAGGAGACUCAUUCACGGUUUGAGAGCCUGUGACCCACGGUCUGUCUGAAGUCAGAGAAUGUCCCUCUCAGACACAGACACCAGCUUUGGGCUUCUAGAGAGCCAGCGUCAACAACAUUCGUGGCGUAUCUACCAGGCAGCCAGGCAGGCCUCGCUGGCUGAGCCAGACACAGGAACCCUCGCCUGGGCUUUCUCCCUCACACCCAGCGCAGGGCUCCUCCCACUCCCCCCUCCUUUAAUGUUCUUUCAGCCCUCCUCCCAGCCUCUCCCCCUCCAAAUCCAAGCCUAAAGGUGGGGACAAUAUUGGCAGCGAGAGACCCACGCGCCUUAACUCCUGGAGCUGACUGCAGGAGGGAGUCUGACUGAGAGGGAGGAGGUCUGUGAACCCAAUUCGCAGCACCCUCAUAACCCCCACUAGUUAAACCAGUUCGCUCCUGGGCCUUAGGACCGAGAAGGCCAGGGGAAGGGAGCCGGCUUUGGCCUGCAGGUGGAGGCUAACCAGUGCCCUUCUUCUCUGGCAUGCUCCUGCCCCAUCACUCCACAUCCUGGGAGUGUCCACGUCCCUCACUGCCUACCCUGGGAGGUACGGCCUGGCAGAACACAGCAUGGCCAGAGACAACUCAGUCUCCCCAAACGCCAGGAAGGGGGAAAGCGCCAGAGAGAAAGGGUUGGCAUCACAGAGCCCAGGAC